CGGAGCUUGCUCCACCGGAAAAAGAAGAGUGGCGAACGGGUGAGUAACACGUGGGUAACCUGCCCAUCAGAAGGGGAUAACACUUGGAAACAGGUGCUAAUACCGUAUAACAAUCGAAACCGCAUGGUUUUGAUUUGAAAGGCGCUUUCGGGUGUCGCUGAUGGAUGGACCCGCGGUGCAUUAGCUAGUUGGUGAGGUAACGGCUCACCAAGGCCACGAUGCAUAGCCGACCUGAGAGGGUGAUCGGCCACAUUGGGACUGAGACACGGCCCAAACUCCUACGGGAGGCAGCAGUAGGGAAUCUUCGGCAAUGGACGAAAGUCUGACCGAGCAACGCCGCGUGAGUGAAGAAGGUUUUCGGAUCGUAAAACUCUGUUGUUAGAGAAGAACAAGGAUGAGAGUAACUGUUCAUCCCUUGACGGUAUCUAACCAGAAAGCCACGGCUAACUACGUGCCAGCAGCCGCGGUAAUACGUAGGUGGCAAGCGUUGUCCGGAUUUAUUGGGCGUAAAGCGAGCGCAGGCGGUUUCUUAAGUCUGAUGUGAAAGCCCCCGGCUCAACCGGGGAGGGUCAUUGGAAACUGGGAGACUUGAGUGCAGAAGASGAGAGUGGAAUUCCAUGUGUAGCGGUGAAAUGCGUAGAUAUAUGGAGGAACACCAGUGGCGAAGGCGGCUCUCUGGUCUGUAACUGACGCUGAGGCUCGAAAGCGUGGGGAGCAAACAGGAUUAGAUACCCUGGUAGUCCACGCCGUAAACGAUGAGUGCUAAGUGUUGGAGGGUUUCCGCCCUUCAGUGCUGCAGCUAACGCAUUAAGCACUCCGCCUGGGGAGUACGACCGCAAGGUUGAAACUCAAAGGAAUUGACGGGGGCCCGCACAAGCGGUGGAGCAUGUGGUUUAAUUCGAAGCAACGCGAAGAACCUUACCAGGUCUUGACAUCCUUUGACCACUCUAGAGAUAGAGCUUCCCCUUCGGGGGCAAAGUGACAGGUGGUGCAUGGUUGUCGUCAGCUCGUGUCGUGAGAUGUUGGGUUAAGUCCCGCAACGAGCGCAACCCUUAUUGUUAGUUGCCAUCAUUCAGUUGGGCACUCUAGCAAGACUGCCGGUGACAAACCGGAGGAAGGUGGGGAUGACGUCAAAUCAUCAUGCCCCUUAUGACCUGGGCUACACACGUGCUACAAUGGGAAGUACAACGAGUCGCGAAGUCGCGAGGCUAAGCUAAUCUCUUAAAGCUUCUCUCAGUUCGGAUUGUAGGCUGCAACUCGCCUACAUGAAGCCGGAAUCGCUAGUAAUCGCGGAUCAGCACGCCGCGGUGAAUACGUUCCCGGGCCUUGUACACACCGCCCGUCACACCACGAGAGUUUGUAACACCCGAAGUCGGUGAGGUAACC
Molecule: ribosomal RNA, 1386 nt
Filed under: Enterococcus durans
Lineage: Bacteria; Bacillati; Bacillota; Bacilli; Lactobacillales; Enterococcaceae
Description: bacterial SSU rRNA
Rfam family: Bacterial small subunit ribosomal RNA
Source: RNAcentral